UAUAAAAGCGCGCGGCGAGCGGUGCUUCGGCCAUUUUGCGCGCGGCGCUGAGCGGGUGAGGUGUUUGCUGCCUUCGGGUNCCCCGCCCCAAAAUGGCUCCUCUCAGACACCUGCGGGACGCCGGCGUUCACCCAGGUUCGUUUUUGCCCAUUUCUGUGUUUUUUUGGGGGGAGUUUUGGGGUUUUUUGGGGCCGCUCGGUGAUGAGCAGCACGACAAGCAUAUGGCUGAGCUCCGUGAUGCCUCUGCGUGCUGAGGGCGGCCGCCCUCAUUAAUGCCGGUAGUAAUUAACGGCGCCGAGAGCCCGGAUGGGUCGGGGCCUUAGUAAUUCCUAAUUAGCGAGCUAAUGGGGGCUCUGAGAUCGGGAGUAGGGAGCCAUUAUUAAUCCCUAAUUAAUGAGCUAUUAGGAGUUCUGGGAUUGGGUAAUGGGGGUUCUCAGAUUGGGGGUAAGGAGCCAUUACUAAUCCCUAAUUAAUGAGCUAUUAGGGGUUCAGAGUCUGCCCCCCC
RNAcentral lists this long non-coding RNA (505 nucleotides) under Chrysolophus pictus (golden pheasant). RNAcentral describes it as "lncRNA (ENSCPIG00010010051.1)". The record is from RNAcentral. Lineage: Eukaryota; Metazoa; Chordata; Aves; Galliformes; Phasianidae.